This 472-nucleotide ribosomal RNA is filed under the name uncultured bacterium. RNAcentral's name for it is "bacterial SSU rRNA". It matches the Rfam family "Bacterial small subunit ribosomal RNA", at positions 355 to 825 of the family's 1533-position model. The record is from RNAcentral.
UGGGGAAUUUUGGACAAUGGGGGCAACCCUGAUCCAGCAAUGCCGCGUGAGUGAAGAAGGCCUUCGGGUUGUAAAGCUCUUUUGUCAGGGAAGAAACGGUAGUAGCGAAUAACUACUACUAAUGACGGUACCUGAAGAAUAAGCACCGGCUAACUACGUGCCAGCAGCCGCGGUAAUAUGUAGGGUGCAAGCGUUAAUCGGAAUUACUGGGCGUAAAGCGUGCGCAGGCGGUUGUGUAAGUCAGAUGUGAAAUCCCCGGGCUCAACCUGGGAAUUGCAUUUGAGACUGCACGGCUAGAGUGUGUCAGAGGGGGGUAGAAUUCCACGUGUAGCAGUGAAAUGCGUAGAUAUGUGGAGGAAUACCGAUGGCGAAGGCAGCCCCCUGGGAUAACACUGACGCUCAUGCACGAAAGCGUGGGGAGCAAACAGGAUUAGAUACCCUUGUAGUCCCUGAGCGGGCUGGCAAGGCGCAU